UUCUGUGUUUUAUAAUUUCAUAAUUACUAUGAUAUUUUUCCCUCUCAUCUAAGAUAUUCAUCAUUACAGGUUCAUUGUCCUAUCUUUUAUGUACUGUUAAAAUUUUAAAUUAGGAGAACCCAAUAUUUCUAGUGUUUUUAUUCUAGAGGAGAACCCAAUAUUUCUAGUGUUUUUAUUCUAGCCAAACUCAAAGGCCUCCAAUUAUGUUAGCCCUACAAUGGAGGAGCCGCUGUGCUUGAAAGCCCUUUUGGUAUCUCUACCCCCUCCUCCCUUUCCCUUACCCAAUGAAUCUCAUAAAUCAAUCCAUUCAUAUUUACUCUUCCUAAUUACUCUAAUAACAAUGCAUGAAGCAAUGCAGUUUUCCUAAUUACUCUAACAAAAAAUGCAUGAAGCAAAGCAGACGCUCAAAUUAUCCAAUGUGGAAGUUUAGAAAGUCUCUUGAUUGAUUCGAUGUACUGUUCAAUUAGCUCAACCAUUGAAUUCUCAUGCAAUAUACUUCCUCGCACUAAACGACUACCAAUAACCUUAUUUAACUUUUACGUAUUUUAUUUUAUUUUAUUUUAUUUUUUAUUUUUAAUAAUCGUUUUUUGGACAUUUUUUUUUUUCAAGUUUUCAAAGUAAUC
This 623-nucleotide long non-coding RNA is filed under the name Amborella trichopoda. RNAcentral's name for it is "long non-coding RNA (ATRI_LNC000267)". The record is from RNAcentral. Lineage: Eukaryota; Viridiplantae; Streptophyta; Magnoliopsida; Amborellales; Amborellaceae.